This 418-nucleotide ribosomal RNA is filed under the name uncultured bacterium. RNAcentral describes it as "bacterial SSU rRNA". It matches the Rfam family "Bacterial small subunit ribosomal RNA", at positions 917 to 1333 of the family's 1533-position model. The record is from RNAcentral.
GGACCCGCACAAGUAGUGGAGCAUGUGGUUUAAUUCGAAGAUACGCGCAGAACCUUACCAACACUUGACAUGUUCGUCGCGACUCUGAGAGAUCAGAGUUUUCGGUUCGGCCGGACGAAACACAGGUGCUGCAUGGCUGUCGUCAGCUCGUGUCGUGAGAUGUUGGGUUAAGUCCCGCAACGAGCGCAACCCUCACUUUUAGUUGCCAUCAUUAAGUUGGGCACUCUGAAAGAACUGCCAGUGAUAAGCUGGAGGAAGGUAGGGAUGACGUCAAGUCCUCAUGGCCCUUACGUGUUGGGCUACACACGUGCUACAAUGGUAUCUACAACAGGAAGCAAAACGGCAACGUUAAGCAAAUCCCGAAAAGAUACCUCAGUUCGGAUUGCACUCUGCAACUCGAGUGCAUGAAGCUGGAAUU